RNAcentral lists this unclassified non-coding RNA (305 nucleotides) under plant metagenome. RNAcentral describes it as "partial contains 5.8S ribosomal RNA, internal transcribed spacer 2, and large subunit ribosomal RNA". The stretch from base 1 to 105 matches the Rfam family "5.8S ribosomal RNA", at positions 50 to 154 of the family's 154-position model. The record is from RNAcentral.
GAAAUGCGAUAAGUAAUGUGAAUUGCAGAAUUCAGUGAAUCAUCGAAUCUUUGAACGCACAUUGCGCCCGCCAGUAUUCUGGCGGGCAUGCCUGUUCGAGCGUCAUUUCAACCAUCAAGCCCCCGGCUUGUGUUGGGGACCUGCGGCUGCCCGCAGGCCCUGAAAAACAGUGGCGGGCUCGCUGUCACACCGAGCGUAGUAGCAUACAUUCUCCCUCAGGGCGUGCUGCGGGUUCCGGCCGUUAAACGACCUUCAUAACCCAAGGUUGACCUCGGAUCAGGUAGGAAGACCCGCUGAACUUAAGU